Non-coding RNA from Triticum aestivum (bread wheat), 115 nucleotides. The record is from Rfam. NCBI's taxonomy places the organism in Eukaryota, Viridiplantae, Streptophyta, Magnoliopsida, Poales, Poaceae.
CAAGUACUCCCUCCGUCCGGAAUUACUUGUCAUCAAAAUGGAUGUGUCUAGAACUAAAAUACAUCUAGAUACAUCCAUUUCAAUGACAAGUAUUUUGGGACAGAGGGAGUACAAG